This is a non-coding RNA of Gallus gallus (chicken), 46 nucleotides long. Lineage: Eukaryota; Metazoa; Chordata; Aves; Galliformes; Phasianidae. The record is from Rfam.
AGCCAGGCUAUUUUAAUAGCCACUUAUUUUUAAUAUCCAUUUAUAU